RNAcentral lists this ribosomal RNA (497 nucleotides) under uncultured bacterium. RNAcentral describes it as "partial 16S ribosomal RNA". It matches the Rfam family "Bacterial small subunit ribosomal RNA", at positions 28 to 507 of the family's 1533-position model. The record is from RNAcentral.
GAUGAACGCUGGCGGCGUGCCUAAUACAUGCAAGUCGAGCGAACGGACGAGAAGCUUGCUUUUCUGAUGUUAGCGGCGGACGGGUGAGUAACACGUGGAUAACCUACCUAUAAUACUGGGAUAACUUCGGGAAACCGGAGCUAAUACCGGAUAAUAUUUUGAACCGCAUGGUUCAAAAGUGAAAGACGGUCUUGCUGUCACUUAUAGAUGGAUCCGCGCUGCAUUAGCUAGUUGGUAAGGUAACGGCUUACCAAGGCAACGAUGCAUAGCCGACCUGAGAGGGUGAUCAGCCACACUGGAACUGAGACACGGUCCAGACUCCUACGGGAGGCAGCAGUAGGGAAUAUUCCGCAAUGGGCGAAAGCCUGACGGAGCAACGCCGCGUGAGUGAUGAAGGUCUUCGGAUUGUAAAACUCUGUUAUUAGGGAAGAACAUAUGUAUAAGUAACUGUGGACAUCCUGACGGUACCUAAUCAGAAAGCAACGGCUAACUACGUG